GUCUACCCAUCUUUCACUCUCUCUG
RNAcentral lists this small RNA (25 nucleotides) under Caenorhabditis elegans. RNAcentral's name for it is "Unclassified non-coding RNA D2013.11". The record is from RNAcentral. Lineage: Eukaryota; Metazoa; Nematoda; Chromadorea; Rhabditida; Rhabditidae.